CUGCACCUCCGGCCGCGCCAGCAGCGUCUCUGUGGUACAGGACGGGGGACGCGGGUGAAGAGGGCGGAGAAGGCGGGGAAAGAGAGAGAGCCACUGAGGCCACCACUAGGCGGCCACCGGCGCCUCCCCUCCCUAGCUCGUAUCCGCCUAGCAACUAGAGAGUAGCCAUUUGAGCACUUUCUUUGAGAGCUCCCGCGAGUCCUCGAGGGCUUUGCCUCCCCAACACUCACGCUCCCCACUUCUCUCCCACCACGAAACGUGGAGAACAAGAGAUAAGGAUAUGCAUUUACACGUAUUAAACACCUAGACGUUGUGUGCAAGACAUUAUGCUCACUGUAGAUACUUCAGCUCAUUUUAUCCCUGUGAUAACGUUUUGAGAACCCAAUACUAUCACCCCAUUUUAUAAAUGGGGAAACUGAGGCACCAGAGGUUUUUUGCCUUGGCAAGACUACAUAUCAACCCCCUAGCUCUUAAUCACCACUGCACUUCAUCCUCCAGGUGUUCUAGAUGAUUCUAGGUCUCAUCCCAGUGUAUGGAUGUGUGGAGAGUUCUAGGCACUGAUUGGGGGGGGAAUUAUUCCGCAUCUGUUUUAUGUAGGGGCGGGUGGAGGACCGAGUUCAGGUGCUCACCUAUGUGCUGGAUGAUCCCGCUGACUGUGGGCUGAAAGAGCUCGUUCAUGGCUUCACAAGACAUUCGGAGCAUCCCCUGUGAGGACCACUUCACGAAGUUCACGCUGUUAGUGGUGAAAGGGGCACAGACCUAUCGGUCAGGGCCCAGCUGCUUGCCCCAGUUUGGGGUCCGUGGUUCUUAUUCUCUACCUCUGCCACCAGGCAGAAGUGCCUGGGCACCGACUGCACGUGGUGUCUGGAGGACUGGACCUGCUGGAUGUUAGCCCUCAUCCCCACCCUACUCAGUCAGGAUUUAGUUGCCAGCCUGCUCCAGGUUCCAGGCCCUGGGAACUCUUCAUACAAGCUUUCCAGAGGACUCCAGCUUUUGAGUCAUUGAGCGACUCCCGGGAUCACACAGCAGGCUGCUGUAUACUCAAGGAAAUGACAGGAAGCAAUGCUCCCUGACUAAUCAAGGUAGAUAGGUCUUUGUUCUCCUCACCCUAAGGAAAGGUAAGCACGUUCUGGGUGUGUUGUUCUGGGACUUAGGCCUUGUAUCAUUUUGCUAAUGUAGCCACAGAAUUCUCAGCAGCAUCCAGCAAUAAACUGAUGCAUCCACAGGUUGGCUGGGGUCUGGGGGACGUAGGCUGGGCUCAGCUGAGUUUUGUUUCAAACCAUGGGUCUGAUUCAGGUCAUCUGCAUGUGUUCAUCAUCCUCUUUGGACCGGCAGGUCAGUUGGAGCCUGCCUCUUGCCUGGCAAUGACAGAAAUUCAGGGGAGGCCAACCGCUUAAGUAUGUUUCAAGACUUAGCUUGAGUCAUGUCCAUGCACAUCCAUUGGCCAGAGCAAGUCAUAUGGCUAAAGUCAAAGUAAAGGGAUGCUUUCCCACCAUGCAGCCAAGCCAUGUAUACAGUCCCAGUGGACUGAAGGAUCAGUACACAUGUGUCACAACCCCACAGGCCUAGAGCUAGGGGUCUCUGUACCAGCUGUUGAAGGAGGAAGUAAUGGGAUGAAUCCUUUGUGUUUUGGUCAAAAGAGGAAAUGGCCCAAGCAUGGCAGUGGACACAGGGGCUAUAAAGAGGAACAGAGUGAAAGAGACCUAAUAUCUCUGGAGCCUGAGCAUUUCAGGGUAGAAUGUCACCAGACAUCUGCUUGGGGCACCAUGGCCUGAGAUUCUGGAUCCACCCUAAUUCAGGGUUUCACAUCCUUUUAUACCCGCACAUUUGGCCUUGCCCUCAGGAUACGGGGCCUAAUUUGCUGUGGCCAGCUCCUCGCCAGUACAGGUAGGCAGGGACUGAGUUGAAUUAAGUUUGAGUUGUGAAAUCUUUUUAAAAAAUGGCCAGGAGUGGUGGUUUACGCCUGUAGUUCCAGCACUUUGGGAGGUCGAGGU
Molecule: non-coding RNA, 1994 nt
Organism: Macaca mulatta (Rhesus monkey)
Lineage: Eukaryota; Metazoa; Chordata; Mammalia; Primates; Cercopithecidae
Source: RefSeq, a predicted model, not a curated record